UUUUUUUCUUUCUUUCUUUUUCGCUUUUUAGGGCUGCACCCAAUGGCAUAUGGAAAUUUCCAGGCUAAGGGGUCCAACUGGAGCUGUAGCUGCUGGCCUACACCACAGCCACAGUCACUUGGGAUAUGAACCACGCCUGCAACCUACACCACAGCUCAUGGCAACACUGGAUCCUUAUCCGACUGAGCAAGGCCAGGGAUCAAACCCAAAACCUCAUAGUUACUAGUUGGAUUUGCUUACAUUGACCACAAUGGGAACUUUUUUUUUUAAGGGUCGCACCCAUGAGCAUGGAAGUUCCCAGGCCAGGGGUUGAAUCGGAGCUGCAACAGUCAGUCAUAUCCCAGCCGAAUCCUUGACCUAUGUCGAAGUUUUGCGGCAACACCAGAUCCCCCACCCACUGACACUAGUUGGGUUUUCAACCUGAUGAGCCACAAUGGGAACUCCCUGUUUUUUUAAGUUUUAUUUUCAUUUUAUUUUUUUGGCUGCAACCAUAGCAUAUGGAAGUUCCCUGGCCAGGGACUGAACCUGAGUCCAUGCAGAAACAAUGCUGGAUCUUUAACCUGCUGUGCCACAGCAGGAACUCCUACUUCUGCCUUUUUAUAGAGAUGUUUACUAAGCUGCUGCUGUCUUUAUGCUAGGAGACAGAAAGUUGAGGACCAGCCAGUUCUACCAUUGCUGUCAGUUUUGCCUUGUGGGGAUUUGCUUUCCCAGUUGGAAUUCUCCUAAGUUAUGAGACUUCUGGAUCCUGAAAAGAGGCAAGUGAUGAUCUGCAAAGGAAAAAGGGAAUUUGGGGCAUAACCAAGAAGGAUCAUGGGCUGAAAAAGGAGUAAGUAGAGUGGGCUUUCUGCGGCAUCUGGACAAAAGCCAGUCACCAUAGUCUGUCCAUUCUGCCUUUGACCUAUCUCCAAAUAUUAUCUUUUCCCCCAUCUUCACCCACAACCAUCAGAAUCCAAGUACUCAUUAACUCUCCUAUAGAUUACUCCAACAGACUAUGAAUUAUGCUCCCUAACUCCAAUCUUUAAUAUUUCUGUCAAUCAAGCCGGUAAACUACAGUCAGAUUAAUUUACCUCAAACAUUGCUUUCAUGCAACUAGCCAACAACUAUAUAUUGCUUAUUAGUCCCCAUCAUUGUGCCAAGUGCUGGUGGAUAUUCAAAACUUUCACUUAACUGAAAAAUUUACUCUAUUUGCAGGGAGGGACAUGAGUAUACAAAAAAUUAUUAUUAAAAAAAACAAAACAAAAAAAAACCAGGGAGUUCCUGUCGUGGCUCAGUGGUUAAUGAAUCUGACUAGGAACCAUGGGGUUGCAGGUUCGAUCCCUGGCCUUGAUCAGUGGGUUGAGGAUCCGGCAUUGCCGUGAACUGUGGUGUAGGCUGCAGAAACGGCUUGGAUGUGGCGUUGCUGUGGCUCUGGCGUAGGCCAGUGGCUACAGCGCCGAUUCGACCCCUAGCCUGGCAACCUCCAUAUGCCACAGGAGCGGCCCUAGAAAAGGCAAAAAGACAAAAACAAAAAAACAGAAACAGGGAGUUCCUGUCAUGCCACAGUGGAAACGAAUCCGACUAGGAACCAUGAGGUUGCAGGUUCGAUCCCUGGCCUCGCUCAGUGGGGAUCCAGUGUUGCCAUGAGCUGUGGUAGCUCACAGAUGUGGCUUGGAUCCCACGUUGCUGUGGCUGUGGUAUAGGCUGGCAGCUGUAGCUCAGAUUCAACCCCUAGCCUGGGAACUUCAUAUGCCAUGAGUACAGCCCUAAAAAAAGCAAAAAAUAAAAAAAUUUUAAAAUAAAAUUAUUGUUGGAUAUACAUAUA
Molecule: long non-coding RNA, 1801 nt
Filed under: Sus scrofa (pig)
Lineage: Eukaryota; Metazoa; Chordata; Mammalia; Artiodactyla; Suidae
Description: lncRNA (ENSSSCG00035048954.1)
Source: RNAcentral